ACCCUCCUGGACUCUUUUUUCUCUCUGAACUAAACCCUCCCAUGCCUCAGUCUGCAUCAUCCAAUCACGGGGUACAAAGAGGAUCUUGAUGUAAAAAUGCUGCAAUUUUAUUUAUACCUUGUUGCAAGAUUAAUUGUCACCGGUUGAUUUUUGUCCAUUGUUGAUGUCGUUCAUACAAGCUCUUGGCCUCAGGCUGGGGAGUUUUAUUGUUUGUUUGUCGGUUGUUUUUUUUUCAAAAGCCUUUUUCAUUAAAUGUAAGCAAAUCUUGUCCUAAUAGCUCUCAGCCAUAAUGACUUGAUCGUAUCUUUUAACGACAUUUUUAAAGAAUAUUGAAAUGUUUCCAACAAUUUUUUCCCCCUCUUCUGUUCCAUGAGUAUAAUGAUUGCUUAAUCCAUAAUAAUUUUCGCUGGCCAUUUUGUGGCAGGCAGUCGUCCUCCAAAGUUUUUUUUGCCAAAUUAUGUUGACUAUGUCUCUGGUCCUGCGGAAGUAGCUGUGAACACAGUGAACGCAGGUGUGGAAUGCCAUAGAUGUCUGAGUUCUCGCCAUUCCUCGAAUGAGACAUUGGCAGUCAGUUGCAGUCUUGUCCUUGUAAGGCCUUCUUACGAUUCAUAACUAUGUGGGGUUUUUUUGUGAGAGGAAGUUUGUCAGAUUGUGUUUUACUGCUCAUGUUGUGAACUGGGGAGGACUGAUUUCAUUUUUCCUUAUACUUUUUAAGUGUAGAUAUGAUAUUAUCUGUUAAAGGUGUACGAACGAAAUAGGAAACAGGUUGUAGUUAAAGGAAACAGGUUUCAGUAAAAGGAACCUGGUUUUAGAAAAAGGAAACAGGCUUUAGUAAAAGGAACCAGGUCUUAGAAAAAGGAAACAUGUUUUAGUAAAAGGGACCAGGUCUAAGAAAAAGGAAACAUGUUGUAGUUAAACAAAAACGAAAUUUGAAGGAUCCUUUUUCUUCUUCUUCUUGUUGUUGUGAAUGCAACAAACCAAAAGAUGGGUGAAGAUACCCCUUAGCGUCUCCCCAUUCAUCGCGGUUUGCAGCCUGGAAAAGAAUGGCUCGGAUAGCUUGCAUAAACGAAAUAAAUAGUUCUUCUUCAACAAUUUUUUUCAUGGUUCCGAACUGUGGGCUCUGGUUUCAAUGACGAUAUUUUUUACGUGCUGUACUACGUUUUGCGAAUCACA
Molecule: long non-coding RNA, 1173 nt
Organism: Aplysia californica (California sea hare)
Lineage: Eukaryota; Metazoa; Mollusca; Gastropoda; Aplysiida; Aplysiidae
Exons: 2
Source: RefSeq, a predicted model, not a curated record